Labeo rohita (rohu) is the source of this 855-nucleotide long non-coding RNA. RefSeq lists it as uncharacterized. The record is from RefSeq and is a predicted model, not a curated record. NCBI's taxonomy places the organism in Eukaryota, Metazoa, Chordata, Actinopteri, Cypriniformes, Cyprinidae. The transcript has 4 exons.
UCUGGAGCGAAGGACCUGAACCAGGAAGUUGGUCACCAGAUAACACGGUCACCAGUUAAACCAUAACACCUGUUACCAUUUUGAAAACAAUCACUGAUGAUGGAUGUGGCACAAAAAGAAAACACACUUCGCCGUUAAGUGGAUAUAAAAACAAAGCUAUGCGAAGUAGCCAGUCUGUUCAGGAACAGAGGAUGAACCUUAGAUCUUUCCCACCAUCUAUCUUACACAAGUAUGAGUUUUCUUCAAAGACUUCAAAGAGCAGCCCAAAAUGUCCUCACAUGAGUGAUCUUCCAGAACCUGGCCCGGCUCAACCAGUCUCAGCUCAACCCUGCCUGACCUCACAUGCCUUUUUCACACCAGCUGUCAGCACACACACAAACGCCCCGCCAACUUGCUAACAGGGACACCUGCCAGAUCUGCCUAGAGAAAAUUGCAGUUCUCAAGGAAAUCAACCUUCAAUUGUCACAUACAGCAGCAUGCAGGGAAUGAAGGAUAGAUGAGACUCUUAACUCUGAAAAGGUGGAAUUUACACACAAAGGCCAUCGGGCUUCUAUCUGCUCAUCUGAGUGGACGCAGCAGUUUUGAAAAGCUCUAACAGGAUUAAAGUGAGGACUGUCGAACCACAGAGCUGCUGUGGUGACAAACCCUUCUCACAUCUCCCUAAUCACUCUUCUGUCCACUCAUACAAGAACAGUGGAGAAAAAAAAUUAAAGAACACAAAAAUAUGAAAGCCGUUUUCCAAAGAAUAUUCAUUUUAAAAUAAUUUAAAAAAUUUAAUAAUGUUUGAAAAUAAGAAAUAAUCACAUUGUGAAAUAUGUGUAUUGGAAUUAUGAGAUUUAAAGUCACUGCAAAAUA